RNAcentral lists this microRNA (19 nucleotides) under Drosophila erecta. RNAcentral describes it as "miR-33-RA". Lineage: Eukaryota; Metazoa; Arthropoda; Insecta; Diptera; Drosophilidae. The record is from RNAcentral. RNAcentral also lists the same sequence under 5 other names.
GUGCAUUGUAGUCGCAUUG